RNAcentral lists this ribosomal RNA (336 nucleotides) under uncultured Bacillota bacterium. Its description in RNAcentral is "bacterial SSU rRNA". It matches the Rfam family "Bacterial small subunit ribosomal RNA", at positions 28 to 351 of the family's 1533-position model. Lineage: Bacteria; Bacillati; Bacillota. The record is from RNAcentral.
GACGAACGCUGGCGGCGUGCCUAACACAUGCAAGUCGAACGGUUUGAGAUAGAGCUAUUUAUAGAUUUAUCAAAAAUAGUGGCGGACGGGUGAGUAACGCGUGAGUAACCUACCUUUCAGAGGGGGAUAACGUUUGGAAACAGACGCUAAUACCGCAUAACAUAUCAACAUCGCAUGGUGAAGAUAUCAAAGGAGCAAUCCACUGAGAGAUGGACUCGCGUCCGAUUAGCCAGUUGGCGGGGUAAAGGCCCACCAAAGCUACGAUCGGUAGCCGGACUGAGAGGUUGAACGGCCACAUUGGGACUGAGACACGGCCCAGACUCCUACGGGUGGCAG